GCCUCGGUAGUUCCGUCAGCUUCAAGUUGUCGUUCGCUUUUAUUUGGGCCGUUCUUCUUCAGGUAGCCUUUGUGGUAUAUCGUGUGGGUAAAUCAACCUAGCUUAACUUGGUUGAAUUCUGCAGAGACUGCCAGACUAGGGACCGGGAGAUGUUUGGGUGUACUCUCGGGGGUAGGGGUAAAAUCCUGUCAUCCUGGGAGGACCACCAGUUGCGAAGGCGCCACACUGGAACGGAUCCGACGUUCAGGGACGAAGCCUAGGGGCACGAACCUGGAUUAGAUACCCGGGUAGUCCUAGGAGUAAACGCUGUGAACUUGGUGUCGGGGAUCCUACUUGGGUUCCCGGUGCCGGAGUGAAGAUGUUAAGUUCACUGCCUGGGGAGUACGGUCGCAAGGCUGAAACU
This 403-nucleotide ribosomal RNA is filed under the name uncultured marine euryarchaeote. RNAcentral's name for it is "bacterial SSU rRNA". It matches the Rfam family "Archaeal small subunit ribosomal RNA", at positions 464 to 856 of the family's 1478-position model. The record is from RNAcentral. Lineage: Archaea; Methanobacteriati; Methanobacteriota.